This 7937-nucleotide long non-coding RNA is filed under the name Brassica napus (rape). RNAcentral's name for it is "long non-coding RNA (BNAP_LNC003122)". The record is from RNAcentral. Lineage: Eukaryota; Viridiplantae; Streptophyta; Magnoliopsida; Brassicales; Brassicaceae.
GACGAACCGGUCUUGAUUGCAUUUCACCGGGUACACUCCUUGGUAAUGAGACUCGUACCCUUGGCUCUGUACCGCGAAAUCGAACGCGGAUUGGAGACACUCGAGGCGGUUUUUAAGAACGUCAGGGAACCGGACGAUAACCGGGAGGUGUAAUCCUAAACCGCCGGUUUGUUUCGGAUCUGUUACUUUCUUGACGAGUUUCAACAGAUCGAUGUCUUGAUGAGGGAGAGUGUUGGAGCCGUGAGGGCGAACGGAGAUGUUGCCGGAGGAGUUGGCGGAGAAGUAAGGAGCUCCCCAUCCGUCGAUGCGGUAGAGAGAGGAGGAGAGAGAGGGGCUCCACGUGUCGACGACGGCGGCGGUGGAGGAAGGCUGUGGUGACGGUGGGAUGAACACGUCGGUGGUGUAGGUGUCGACGCAAGCUAAAGCAGGCAUCUUGAUUCAAUACUCUGUUUUUGACGAAUCUAUUCGAAAGGUUUGAGGUGAAAACCGAGAGGUUGAUAUUGUAAGUCUGAACCGGAUCCGACCCGCCUAUAGCCUUUAAAACCCAUUCGCAUAACCCAUCAACAGAAGCUAACUGCUCAAUGCUCAAAACACCGUCUUUAAAGCCUUCAACACAUCUCUGCUUCAGCUUGUCAACGUAAAGUAAACACCUUUCUUGAUCCCCACGCAUCACAGCAGAGUACAGCUCCUCGUAAUCAUCACCUUCGAGCAAAAACUGAAUAUCAUCAUGAUCAGCUUGAUGUUUAACCGUUGAGACAGCUUCAAAGAUCAACACUGAGUGAUGAGAGACGAUAGCUCUUCCGCUUUCACUACAUAUCACAGGAUGCUUCACCGAUCUCCUCUCGCAUACAAACCUAACAGAAGCUACAACAGCUUCAGCGUACUCCUCGAGAGUAUAAGCCACAGAGAGAUCACUCUCUCCGGACUUAGACCCGUCGUAGUCAAUCCCCAACCCGCCACCAAUGUCUAUAACCUUCAUGUUCGCGCCGAGACGGACAAGCUCACAGUAGAGCUGAGCAGCUUCUGAGACACCAUCAGAUAGCAACGAAGUGGAUGGGAUCUGCGAGCCGAUGUGGAAAUGCAAAAGCUGGAGACAGUCAAGCAUACAAGCUUCACUAAGCUUCCUCACGACACGAACUAUCUGAGUAGUGGUCAAACCGAACUUCCCCUUCUCACCCGAAGUUGAACCGAAGUGACCAGAGUGUUUAGUCCUAAGCUUGGCUCGUAAACCAAUCACAGGCCUCACGUUCAUCUUGUGGCUAAGAUCGAUAACAAGAUCAAGCUCCUCUUCUUGCUCCAACACAAUCACAGUGUUCAACGCUAGCUUCCUUCCCAACAGAGCUAGCGAGACAUACUCAGCGUCUUUGAAGCCGUUACAUAUAAGAAAGGCUUCGUUGUUGCCUUUACAUAAACAACUCAUAGCGAGGAGGAUCUCCGGUUUAGAUCCAGCUUCCAAACCGAACCGGAAUUGAGAUCCGAAUCUCACAAUGUCCUCCACGACGAACCGGUCUUGAUUGCAUUUCACCGGGUACACUCCUUGGUAAUGAGACUCGUACCCUUGGCUCUGUACCGCGAAAUCGAACGCGGAUUGGAGACACUCGAGGCGGUUUUUAAGAACGUCAGGGAACCGGACGAUAACCGGGAGGUGUAAUCCUAAACCGCCGGUUUGUUUCGGAUCUGUUACUUUCUUGACGAGUUUCAACAGAUCGAUGUCUUGAUGAGGGAGAGUGUUGGAGCCGUGAGGGCGAACGGAGAUGUUGCCGGAGGAGUUGGCGGAGAAGUAAGGAGCUCCCCAUCCGUCGAUGCGGUAGAGAGAGGAGGAGAGAGAGGGGCUCCACGUGUCGACGACGGCGGCGGUGGAGGAAGGCUGUGGUGACGGUGGGAUGAACACGUCGGUGGUGUAGGUGUCGACGCAAGCUAAAGCAGGCAUCUUGAUUCAAUACUCUGUUUUUGACGAAUCUAUUCGAAAGGUUUGAUUUUUUUGAUUACCAGAUUUUGUGAAGGUAAGGGGUUUGAAAACCGCCGAGGCCGGAGCCUCGGCUACCCCCUCAGGAGAAGGCAGAAGAUGUAUCUGUCGCCGCCGUGAAACCCACCUCGAGCAGCGCGGCCUGAUCCGAGAAUCUCCACGGUGAAUGUUUCAGAAGAAAGGUGGAGACUUUAAUUUAAAAAAACAGGGUUUUUUUUUUACGAAUUUGAGAAACAACAGAUUCUAUUCCCCGACCAUGCAGAGAGAGAGAUAAUGGAUUUAUAUGGAGAGAAGGGGGACGAGAAUGUGAAGUUUCUCGGGGAAAAUGCAAAGAGAAACAGAGCGGAAAGUGAGGGAGAAGGGUGUGAGAUUGAUGAAGGGGAAGUGGUAUUGUUUAUAUAGGAGGAAAAGCUUAGUUAGGAGAAGGUGAUGACUGAGGCAAGUUGGAUUCGGCCCAUGGGGCCCAUUUCCCCAUUUCUCUUUUUCUCUUUUCACCUUUUUUUUACAUUUUCACUAAUUAAAGAAACUGCAAAAAAUCUUACGUGACUGACUACGUCAGUGAGUGAUUAUUCAGGUGGUGUUUUUACAUAUUAACCCAGUACUGUCUUUUUUUUUACAAAACUCUUAACUAGUGUUCAUUUACAAUUGUGAAUACUAGUGUUUUUUCUGUUAAAAAAAAGUAAACGCUAGUCUUUUUAAGUAUAUUUCGAAAUUUAAUCGUGUAUCUUGCUGGUCUACACUACUGUUACGGUUAUGCCAUUACGUGGAAUGAACUUCAUGUAUCAACUGUAAAAAAAAAGAAGUAAAACAACAUUGCGUGUACAUAUUGAUUGUUUCUUCUCCAUUGGCCCAACUUUUAUUCACAUUGCCUGUACCAAACAAUUCCUUAGAUGAUAUGUUCCUUUUGGUGAAGAAAAAAGAUGUUCCUUUUGGAUUACCAAAAAUAAAAUACGUUUCAUUUUAUUUUUAAAAAUUAAUAUAUUUAUACAAAUUUCAUAUAUUUAUACAAAUUUGGCCCAUGGAUAUAUAAAUAUAUACUAUCAUUAAUAUUUGUUUAUAACAAAUUUCGUAUAUUUAUAAAAAUAUAUACUAUUUUUUUAGCAAAGAAAAUAUUAGUAUAUACAAAUUUCAUAUAUUUACACAAAUUUUUCUUUGCUAAAAAUUAAUAUAUUUUUACGAAUUUCAAAAUACGUUUCAAGAAUUUUUCGCGACAAGGUUAGGAUUUAGGAGUAAAUCGAGAAUAUUCCUUAUAUCUACUAUCAUUAAAAGAAAACUUAAUUAAAGUUUAUCCAUUAAAUAAGCAGGAUACUGAAUCAUAUAGUAACGUUUAGUAAAAGUUUUAAAUGCGAAAGAUUUUCGAUUCGGUUUUGGAGAAUGUCUAGAAGACAAUAACAACUAAUCUUAUAAUGAUAUUGGACUAUUACUGGACAACAGUGGAAGUGAAAAUAAAUUUCUUUCGAUUAUAGAAUAACAUCUUUUUUUGUUUAAUAACAUCUGAUUUUAUUUUACAAAUCAUCUUUAUUUACUUUUUAAAAUUAAUAAUCUUUCUUGCAGCUCAUUUGGUGCUCGUGAUUUGAAAAGGUUUUUUUUGGUAAAAGUUUAUGUUUAGAUUGGUAAUGUCUUUGCUCAAAAGUAAAAAAAGAUUGGUACUCCCUCCGUUUUUUAAUAUAAGUCGUUUUAGAGAAACUUUUUUGUUCCAAAUUAUAUGUCGUUUUCGGUUUUCUAUGUAAAAUUUAUUAAUAAUUAAUGUUGUAUGACCAAUGGUAAUAUAUCUUCUAUUUUUCUAUUGGUUGAAUUGUGGUUAGGUAAAUAAUUAAUUAUAUUUUUGUCUAGAAAAUAUAAGAAAUUAAUGGUUUUCUUAAUCUACGUAUAUAGCUGUAAAACGACUUAUAUUAAAAAACGGAGGGAGUAGUCUUUAUGAAUUUUUUUUUGUCACUAGUCUUUAUGAAAAUAUCUAAAUUGGUAAAAGCAACGUGUGUUUUAUAAAUUAGAACUCGCAAUGAGAUUGGAUCCGACUGUUGUGUCUUUGCUUUGUGGUGUAGGUAACACUCUGACACAUGGCAAAUAAAUGCUAUAGGGGCGCAUGUACCUAAUGGACCAAUUUUUACCUCUUUCUAACAAAAUUUAUUCGUGCGUGAUAGUGUUUAUUUAAAAAAAAUACAAAACAGGUAUUUAUCGUUUCAUAAAAGUUUCCAUGUUAUCAAUGAUACAGUUCCUAUACAGAAAGAUUAUAAAUAAACAGACAAUAUAAUUGACCAAAGAAAAACAAUUUCAAAUUUAUGAGAACAAGGUUCCAUUUUGGCACGGCCAUUCAGUUACGAGUCGCCGCGUGGUGGUGUUACGUGGGGGAGUAGUUGUGUUAUGAAGUUUCCUCUUUGCUAACGGACCAUGCUUUAUUUGGAAGCGUGUAAAUAAAUUUGUCAGCAGCCUAUACAUAUAAUAAUAGUCUUCGUCCAAUCGAUUUAUUUUGGUGUUGAGUAGACAUUAUAUUCUCCUAAGAAAAAUAAGAAUAUUACAUCGCCAAUUCUUCUUUUUUUUUUUUAACAAAAAUCACCAAUUCAACAUAUAAAUUUUCUUGAAAUUACAAUGAAAAAAUAUUUUUUCUUUAUUACACAAAAAUUAUCGUUUUAAAAUUUCAAUGCAUUUUAUACUUUCAGCUGAAUAUUAAUUGUAAAAUACAUUGAUCUGAAAUACUAUUGAAAUGAACUUUUCAAGGAUCCUAAUUCAAAUUAUGUAGUAUUUAAGAUGUCAAUCCAUUUUUAAAAGUUUCAAGAUCUUUUUGUCAUGAAAAGCUUUGGUUUUCUCCUGUAGAUCAUUGAGUUCUCAAAAGCAUCCAGUCUAAUUUCAUCAAGCUCAUUGAGUUGGAGAAGUCUCUUCUCCUUGGCACUCUUGGUGUCAAAAUUCAGCAACUUAACAGUCCACAAUGCCUUGUACUCAAGCUCAACUGGUAGAUGACAAGUUUUUCCAUACACAAUUCUAAGUUGAUUUUGACAUUGAGAUUUGUUCCUUACUUGAGACUAAGUCUUAUGUUACGGCGCCAAAUUUGAAAUGGACUUUUCAAGGGUCCUAAUUCAAAUCAUGUAGUAUUUAAGAUGUCAAUCCAUUUCUAAAAGUUUUAAUGCAGAGAGAAUUUAGGUUCAAACUUAAACUUAAGCUAAAUGCAAUCAAAGUGAUAGGGUGAUUCAAUCAAGCUAACAAGGUUCUAAUACAACUAACUAGCAGCUUUCAAGCAAUUGGAUUAAGGAGGAGCCAUAGGUAUGGGAAUUUGAAUUUAGAUGACUAAGUUUUAAUCUAAAAUGCAAGCUUCAAUCAACACAUUCCCCUAAGUCUAGAUAACAUUUUUAAGCUAGUUCUUUAUCAAGACAAAAACUCAUUUACUCUCAACAUUUUUAAGCUAGUUCUUUAUCAAGACAAAAGCUCAUUUACUCUCAUAGAUCAAACAUCAAAUUUCUUUGGUUUGUGUCUAGCUAGGAAUCAUUAAGAACAUAUCAUUCAACUAUCAAAACUCCCCCAACAUCAAAUGUCUUUGGUAGGGUAAGUUAAGAGCAUGUUGAGUUGGCUCAGACAUUUCAUCGAACACCUUUCACGCAAUGAAAUGUCUAGAUCUCUAAUAUGAGAUGGCCAGCUCUAGAUUAGCAUUAAGAUCACUCAAUCAAACAAGGAAACAUAUUAAUAUAUUCUAAACGUUCUAAAUCAUCACUUAAUCAUCCUAAUCAUCCUAACCCAUGAAUCCAAAGAUGACUACUCACUAACUGCCAUGAUAAACCCAAGAAUCAAUGAUGGUUUAGUGUUAAUCAUGAUUAGUGAUCAAGAUAAUUAAGCAAUCACAAAAGAUAAUGAUAAAGAUUAGAUCUUUCACCUAAAAGUGUUUUUUGAUUAGAUAGAAAACAAGAUAAGAUCCAACUUUGAGAUUACAAGAGUAUUUAUAACUCUUUGGAAAACCUAAUGGCUUCCUUUAAAACGUCUAAAAUGCCCUUAAAAAUGUCUAAAUUCGACUAAAGAAAAGAUCCGACUCUGGUAGAAAUCACGGGCGACAACCCGAGUUGGUUACCCCGCGUCGUCAGGCCGUCGACGCUGUCUCUCCGUGCGCGCGGGUACAACACCCCGCGUUGGAUCGUCGACGAAGCUCACUCUCCAUGCGCGCAGGUACGACUCCCCGCAUGAUAUCGCCGUCGAGCUCCAUCUUCAUGUGCGGGUAUGGCUUCCCGCGUUCUUCUCUCUGUGUUGAAACGUCGUUGUUUCUUCUUGAUGAGUCGACGCGGGUAAGUGAAUCCGUGUGGAUUAACCCGUGUUGCACUCGGCCAAACCAACCAAUCUUCAUUCUUCAUUACUUUUUGAACCACAAUGCUUCUAAACACCUCCAAUCACUCCAUAUGACACCCUAAUACCUGAUAAAGACAUAUGAAUGCAAUAUGGAUCCUAAAAAUGCUUAAUUUUUAAUCUAUAUGAUUAAUGUAUACAAAAUGGAUGGUUAAAACAAUGCAAAUAUGCAAGAUAUCAACUACUGGUGAAAUAAAUGUAAUUAUUGAAAACAUAAAUACAUAUCCAUUAUUUUCUAAUAUGUGUAAAAUAGUAUGUCUAAGUGAUACUCCUGUGUUUCUAAAAGAUCCAUAUUCUAUAUUUUUCACACAUUUUAAUAAAAUAAAAUAAAUUUGCAUAAUUUUUUGUGUUUAUUUUUUUCUAAUAACUCUAAGCCGAUAAAAAAUCAAUUAGUGCAAUUAAGUUUUUUAAAAUUUGCAAUUAGUUAAUAAAACAUGCAUUGAAAAAAUAAAAAAUGGAUUUUUUUGAAACAAGUUUUUUCUCUAGAAUAUGUAACUUUAUAGAACGGAGGGAGUAAUAUUUUUUUAUGAAACGGACAGACUAUCGUGGAUAAUCAAGCAACAUUUCUGCUGUGUGUUUCAAGGAGUGAGUUGUGGUUUUUUAUUUGUGCAACUUUAAUUGUUUAGUUAUCGCAAUGAAUCUGGUGUAAUGAUUCAAAUUUACAUUUAAUUUAGCGAAUGCUGUCCAGAGACUAAUAAAUAACGGUACAUUGAUGUAUCCCAGUGGGCUGAUGAAUGCUAUUAAAUUUUCUGAUUUUCUAAUUGAAGUCAUCCCAUUCUCUAUAAUUGUGUAUUACUUCAAUGCUCUUCAACCUCCUCUUUCUCUAUUAAAUUGUUUGUAAUUCUAUCGUAUUUUUUGUAUAUAUACGUGAAUUGUUUUGCAAACGCAAAAACACCAUAUAUACAACAUACUUGAAGUAUGCACCAAAUAUUAAAACCAUAAUACCUUUCUGUUUUAUCAUGAGAAACUAAGAGCAGAUGAGCAUCUGAAUCUGAAUUUGAGCAACUUACACUUGGAAUAUGCAAUAGACUAGGAAAAGAAAACGCGUUAGCGGCCGCUUACUGAACGCGGACGCCACACGUACACUACUAACUCUUGUGGCUAUCGUAAAUAGUGCUCUUUCAAUUCAUCUUUCAUACCACUAUUCUAUUUCAAAAAAAUAUUCGCGUUAUCUUUAGUUUAAUGAUAUUCGUAAUGAGUCAUAUACAUUAUAUAAUCUUUAAAGUGUGGUAGUACAUCCCAAUAUCCCAUCGCCCAUCGUACGAAAGAUAUAGCUCUUAAUUACGUGACGUGUGAUUUGGAGAUUCAUUGUCAUGUGGUUGUGAUGGUCAUAUUAAGGCUACGCAAAAGACUUUGAUACUCUCGAUAAUGCAUUCUAAUGUGCGUGUCCAACCCGGCUAACUAAUUCUAGCGUUCUUGUUUUAUGUUUACCCUAUUUAUUUUAUUUAUCUUAUCAUAUAUGAAUUCAUCUGAAGUUUAUGAACAACUUUUCUUUUUGAAAGGUUCUAAUCAGUAUGGUAUUAACAAAACUAUUUAAUUUCAUGCCAUACACAAAACCACAUUUGAGGCGGAUUGUGUUGCUAAUGUAAAUCGUCCGGUAGUUCAAACCAUUUGUAGUUUCUCUCGUUUUACAUUUGGAAGGGGGGGGGGU